CAAGUUGCUGAUAUCUGUUUCACUUAAAUCCAGUCCAUGGCCUUGUCUUAUUCUUUAAUUUGGGACAAAUUUCUCUGUCUCCUCAUUUUUUUGCCUUAGUCAU
Mustela erminea (ermine) is the source of this 103-nucleotide long non-coding RNA. RefSeq lists it as uncharacterized. The transcript has 3 exons. Lineage: Eukaryota; Metazoa; Chordata; Mammalia; Carnivora; Mustelidae. The record is from RefSeq and is a predicted model, not a curated record.